Molecule: ribosomal RNA, 248 nt
Filed under: uncultured bacterium
Lineage: Bacteria
Description: partial 16S ribosomal RNA
Rfam family: Bacterial small subunit ribosomal RNA
Source: RNAcentral
GCAAGUCGAACGGCAGCACGGGGAGCUUGCUCCCUGGUGGCGAGUGGCGGACGGGUGAGUAACGCGUAGGAAUCUGCCCUGCAGUGGGGGACAACCCGGGGAAACCCGGGCUAAUACCGCAUACGAUUUUCGGAUGAAAGUGGGUCCUUCGGGGCACACGCUGUGGGAUGAGCCUGCGUCCGAUUAGCUAGUUGGUGAGGUAAAGGCUCACCAAGGCGACGAUCGGUAGCUGGUCUGAGAGGAUGAUC